RNAcentral lists this ribosomal RNA (301 nucleotides) under uncultured bacterium. Its description in RNAcentral is "partial 16S ribosomal RNA". It matches the Rfam family "Bacterial small subunit ribosomal RNA", at positions 509 to 809 of the family's 1533-position model. The record is from RNAcentral.
CAGUCGCCGCGGUAAAACGGAGGGAGCUAGCGUUGUUCGGAAUUACUGGGCGUAAAGCGCGCGUAGGCGGUUACUCAAGUCAGAGGUGAAAGCCCGGGGCUCAACCCCGGAACUGCCUUUGAAACUAGGUGACUAGAAUCUUGGAGAGGUCAGUGGAAUUCCGAGUGUAGAGGUGAAAUUCGUAGAUAUUCGGAAGAACACCAGUGGCGAAGGCGACUGACUGGACAAGUAUUGACGCUGAGGUGCGAAAGCGUGGGGAGCAAACAGGAUUAGAUACCCCCGUAGUCCCUGUCUCUUAUAA